ACAUGCCCCGAGAUGCUGCAGAUGUUACAAAUCGGAUCAUUCCUGCAGUCGCGAGCUAUGUGACCUGAAGUCCUGCAGUUCUUGCACGCCUUCUCGUUUGUGCAGUCAGCGGCGAGAUGUCCCGGUUUGAAGCAGUUGUUGCAGAGCCUGAAGUCUCCUGAACGAGAAUCCGGAUUAGGGCAGUCUCUUGCUCGAUGUCCAGAUUUGCCACACGAGUGACAGAUUCCUUCGUUUGAACAGUUUGAGGCUACAUGGCCCGGUUCUCUACAGUUCCAACACCGCGAUUCCGCCGUGCAUUCUGCUGCAAUGUGCCUGCAGAGAGAGUUAAAGAAACAUCACGAAACGCAUAUAGACAGAGGUAAUUCCGUAUUUAAUUUAGGGAGGACAUAUAUACCCCGGAAGACCACAGUUGUUACAGACGGAAACAUUAGAACAGUCUCUCGCAAAGUGACCAGGUCGCUUGCAGUUGUUGCAGAGAUUUCCUUGGCUAAACAAGAUCAAAAAGUUGGGACAAUCAUGUAACCACACCAGAUUGAAACAAAGUAGUUACAAGAUAACUCGAUUCAAAACGUAUGUAUGCACGCAAACAGUUGAACUUAAACCAACCCAACACUGUCAAUUAAAUAAAAGAAACAAUUGAAGACGAACAUUGAAAGAAAAACAGAAAUUAAACCUGAUCCUCAUCAUCUAAUCACACCAUCUUGAUAAAGAGUAGAAGAGAGAAAAAGGUUGGAGACAAGAAAAGUUUAUUCAGCAUAUCUGAGUCUUAAGCAGGCAUCUAUGUUAGCUAUAAGCAUAGGAUUGUGGCUAAAUUGCCAGCUCGGCUUAGCUAACCUUUAUGUCAACCUCAAUGUCAGUUAGUAUGAGAAGGUUACAUAGAAGGGAAGCAUAAGGAGAGAUGGAAUUCCAGAAUGUUGUAACGGUUUUGGGGUCGAGAAUGAAACGGUUAAUAGUGAAGAAGAAAGGGUCAAGACAUAAAAAAGAAAGACCUGAAGGCACGACGUGGCUCCCUUCUAGAAGGAGCAUCACGGUA
This 1033-nucleotide long non-coding RNA is filed under the name Arabidopsis lyrata. RNAcentral describes it as "long non-coding RNA (ALYR_LNC002886)". The record is from RNAcentral. Lineage: Eukaryota; Viridiplantae; Streptophyta; Magnoliopsida; Brassicales; Brassicaceae.